UACGUAGGUGGCAAGCGUUGUCCGGAUUUAUUGGGCGUAAAGGGAGCGCAGGCGGUGACUUAAGUCUGAUGUGAAAGCCCACGGCUCAACCGUGGAAGGUCAUUGGAAACUGGGUCACUUGAGUGCAGAAGAGGGAAGUGGAAUUCCAUGUGUAGCGGUGAAAUGCGUAGAGAUAUGGAGGAACACCAGUGGCGAAGGCGGCUUCCUGGUCUGUAACUGACACUGAGGCGCGAAAGCGUGGGGAGCAAACAGGAUUAGAUACCCCGGUA
This 269-nucleotide ribosomal RNA is filed under the name uncultured prokaryote. RNAcentral describes it as "partial 16S ribosomal RNA". It matches the Rfam family "Bacterial small subunit ribosomal RNA", at positions 524 to 792 of the family's 1533-position model. The record is from RNAcentral.